RNAcentral lists this long non-coding RNA (604 nucleotides) under Chinchilla lanigera (long-tailed chinchilla). RNAcentral describes it as "lncRNA (ENSCLAG00000028341.1)". The record is from RNAcentral. Lineage: Eukaryota; Metazoa; Chordata; Mammalia; Rodentia; Chinchillidae.
GUGAACUGCCCAUCAUCCCAUGGAGGGGCGGGAUAAGACACAGGCCUGACCAAUCAGAGUACCCCACCACCUGGGCGCAGCAGUUGGCUUUGGGAUUGGCACCCAUGCAAGAUGGAGGCGGAUCUUCUCUGACACCUUUCUGCCUUCCUGUGUGUUAGAGUCAGGCCACUAACUUGGCAGGACGUGAGCCUGGGGCUCCCAGUAGACUUCAGGCCGUUCCUGUGAAGACAGUGGCACAGAAAUGCAGAGAGAGCAACGUGAUGAUUUAUGCUGGGAUUAUGACCAGGCUUCUCCACCACAUGAACCGGAUGAGCAGCAAAAAUGACGGUGCUGGACAAACAAGGUGUGCUAUACCAGAAAAAGACAUUGCGGCUCCAGAAAUAAGAUGAGCACAACUACACAAAAAAAGGAUGUGCUACACCUGAUCGCGGUCCCUGCUGGAGCUGCACCCGAGUCUGGGCUCGACUGAGCAGGAAGGUCCAGUUGGGGAUCCAGAGAAAGAAGCCACAGCUCACACUGAAUCCAAACUGCACCCCCAGCCCCAUUUCUGUCCGGUACACAAGGUACGUAUGGAACGCGCCUUUCUCUCUGUUUUUCUGUGGCU